UGGGGAAUAUUGGACAAUGGGCGCAAGCCUGAUCCAGCAAUGCCGCGUGUGUGAAGAAGGCCUUCGGGUUGUAAAGCACUUUUAUCAGGAGCGAAACGCUGUCGGCUAAUACCCGGCGGAACUGACGGUACCUGAGGAAUAAGCACCGGCUAACUUCGUGCCAGCAGCCGCGGUAAUACGAAGGGUGCAAGCGUUAAUCGGAAUUACUGGGCGUAAAGCGUGCGUAGGCGGUUUCUUAAGUCUGCUGUGAAAUCCCCGGGCUCAACCUGGGAAUGGCAGUGGAUACUGGGAGGCUAGAGUGUGUCAGAGGGUGGUGGAAUUCCCGGUGUAGCGGUGAAAUGCGUAGAGAUCGGGAGGAACAUCAGUGGCGAAGGCGGCCACCUGGGACAACACUGACGCUGAGGCACGAAAGCGUGGGGAGCAAACAGGAUUAGGAUAUCCUGGUAGUCCGCGCCCUAAACGAUGCGAACUGGAUGUUGGUCUCAACUCGGAGAUCAGUGUCGAAGCUAACGCGUUAAGUCCGCCGCCUGGGGAGUACGGUCGCAAGACUGAAACUCAAAUGAAUUGACGGGGUCAUAGCUGUUUCCU
RNAcentral lists this ribosomal RNA (588 nucleotides) under uncultured bacterium. Its description in RNAcentral is "partial 16S ribosomal RNA". It matches the Rfam family "Bacterial small subunit ribosomal RNA", at positions 355 to 1375 of the family's 1533-position model. The record is from RNAcentral.